AAAUUAUAAUAAAGAAAAGCUUAUUUAUCUUGCUAAUGAUUGGGGCAAGGUCUCUACAAGAUGCCAAACAUCUAACAAUAAGUGAGUCUUACAAGUUU
Molecule: non-coding RNA, 98 nt
Filed under: Streptococcus gordonii
Lineage: Bacteria; Bacillati; Bacillota; Bacilli; Lactobacillales; Streptococcaceae
Also listed under: 1 other name
Description: Guanine sequence
Rfam family: Purine riboswitch aptamer
About the family: Riboswitches are metabolite binding domains within certain messenger RNAs that serve as precision sensors for their corresponding targets.
Source: RNAcentral